Molecule: ribosomal RNA, 433 nt
Filed under: uncultured bacterium
Lineage: Bacteria
Description: partial 16S ribosomal RNA
Rfam family: Bacterial small subunit ribosomal RNA
Source: RNAcentral
AACGAACGCUGGCGGCAUGCCUAACACAUGCAAGUCGAACGAGACCUUCGGGUCUAGUGGCGCAGGGGUGCGUAACGCGGGGGAACCUGCCCUUAGGUUCGGAAUAACUCGCCGAAAGGGGUGCUAAUCCCGGAUAAUGUCUUAGGACCAAAGAUUUAUCGCCUUUGGAUGGGCCCGCGUUGGAUUAGCUAGAUGGUAGGGUAAAAGCCUACCAAGGCGACGAUCCAUAGCUGGUCUGAGAGGAUGAUCAGCCACACUGGGACUGGGACACGGCCCAGACUCCUACGGGAUGCAGCAGUGGGUAAUAUUGGCCAAUCGGCUAAAGCCUGAUCCAGCAAUGCCGCUUGAGUGAUGAAGUCCUUAGGGUUGUAAAGCUCUUUUACCCGGGAUGAUAAUGACAGUACCGGGAGAAUAAGCUCCGGCUAACUCCGUG